CAGCAGCCGCGGUAACACGGAGGGUGCAAGCGUUAUCCGGAUUUAUUGGGUUUAAAGGGUCCGUAGGCGGAUCUGUAAGUCAGUGGUGAAAUCUCACAGCUUAACUGUGAAACUGCCAUUGAUACUGCAGGUCUUGAGUAAAUUUGAAGUGGCUGGAAUAAGUAGUGUAGCGGUGAAAUGCAUAGAUAUUACUUAGAACACCAAUUGCGAAGGCAGGUCACUAAGAUUUAACUGACGCUGAUGGACGAAAGCGUGGGGAGCGAACAGGAUUAGAUACCCCAGUAGUCCCUGUCUCUUAUAC
This 301-nucleotide ribosomal RNA is filed under the name uncultured bacterium. Its description in RNAcentral is "partial 16S ribosomal RNA". It matches the Rfam family "Bacterial small subunit ribosomal RNA", at positions 509 to 807 of the family's 1533-position model. The record is from RNAcentral.